AAUAAGGUGGCCGAGUUCAUAGGCGUUAGAUUGUAAAUCUAAAAACGAGUUUUAACUCCUUUAUUA
This 66-nucleotide transfer RNA is filed under the name Portunus pelagicus (sand crab). Its description in RNAcentral is "tRNA-Tyr". It matches the Rfam family "tRNA". Rfam says of the family: Transfer RNA (tRNA) molecules are approximately 80 nucleotides in length. Their secondary structure includes four short double-helical elements and three loops (D, anti-codon, and T loops). Further hydrogen bonds mediate the characteristic L-shaped molecular structure. tRNAs have two regions of fundamental functional importance: the anti-codon, which is responsible for specific mRNA codon recognition, and the 3' end, to which the tRNAs corresponding amino acid is attached (by aminoacyl-tRNA synthetases). tRNAs cope with the degeneracy of the genetic code in two manners: having more than one tRNA (with a specific anti-codon) for a particular amino acid; and 'wobble' base-pairing, i.e. permitting non-standard base-pairing at the 3rd anti-codon position. Lineage: Eukaryota; Metazoa; Arthropoda; Malacostraca; Decapoda; Portunidae. The record is from RNAcentral.